RNAcentral lists this ribosomal RNA (253 nucleotides) under uncultured bacterium. RNAcentral describes it as "partial 16S ribosomal RNA". It matches the Rfam family "Bacterial small subunit ribosomal RNA", at positions 524 to 776 of the family's 1533-position model. The record is from RNAcentral.
UACGUAGGGUGCAAGCGUUAAUCGGAAUUACUGGGCGUAAAGCGUGCGUAGGUGGUUUGUUAAGUCUGAUGUGAAAGCCCUGGGCUCAACCUGGGAAUUGCAUUGGAUACUGGCAGGCUAGAGUGCGGUAGAGGAUGGCGGAAUUUCCGGUGUAGCAGUGAAAUGCGUAGAGAUCGGGAGGAACACCUAUAGCGAAGGCAGCUUGCUGGGACGUUACUGACGCUAAGGCGCGAAAGCGUGGGGAGCGAACAGG